Pomacea canaliculata is the source of this 1783-nucleotide RNA transcript. RefSeq lists it as uncharacterized. The record is from RefSeq and is a predicted model, not a curated record. The transcript is spliced from 3 exons. NCBI's taxonomy places the organism in Eukaryota, Metazoa, Mollusca, Gastropoda, Architaenioglossa, Ampullariidae.
UUUUGUGGGGAUUGCCAAGGAAACAGCCACAAGACAGAUUUACAGGUGUAAACGUCAAGGCGGGGUCUGAAGUAGUCACCUGCCACUCUCCUGCUCUAGAAAUUGCUUUGCACUCGGACAGCCGUGGCAACUACAGGCAGCAGGCUGUGUGUCGGGGUCAGAACCAUCGAGAACCAGCUGGACAGGGUUUUCUACACACUCUACAGUUGGUGACGUGCUCUGAAGUCUCGUCCAUAGUUUCUCGCGCAAAGGUCGGAGAAUUUGCACCUGCAUGAUGAGUUCUGCAGUCGGCCCCGCUUCCCGCACGAGCUCAAGAGGAACGAAGCAGACAGAGUUCGCACGGAAAGAGAAUAUAAAUCAUUGGAAGGAAAGCAUAGGAAAGAGACAGUCGAGAAUUAGAGAGUUGCUGAUCGCUGCUCAGAGACUGGGUCAAGGUAAUGUAUUCACACCUGUUAUUGUUUUCUGUUUUUUCCUUCCUGAUCACGACAACUGUUUUUGUUCGUCCAUCGUCGACAACGGUCUCUAGCUCUGGCCUGCACACCUGCAAGGUGCUCCAUGUCGUACUCAGUCCCCGCACGGCCCCUGUAAGCUGGUGCUUCUGCUGUCAAGAGAUAGUAAACAGCGGAAGUUGACACGCGCGCGCUUGCGCGGUGACGGCCGUGUCACGACCUCACUGACCUCUGGUGGCGACCUCGCGUGCAGCUGACGCACUCGCGAAGGGGAGACGAUCAGGGAGAUUUCCUACAUGCGCAGACCACUGCGCACUCAGUCCACGUCAGUCGUCAGCUGAUUGGGCCGGUGACGCACCCAACCCUUGGGGUGAGCUGCAGAGUGCACUAACUGGACAACUUGGGUACAGGGUCAGCAGUUUCUUGCUUGAUGAAGUGAAUGAAUGAGUGUGUGAAGAGAGUGUGAGAGCAUGCAAGAUUUCUGUAAGGCCUCACGUUGUCACAAAUAAACAAAAAUAAUUAAUAAAAAUCAAGUAAAAUACGACUAAACAAAACAAAAAAGGAGAGAAAAAAUAAGAAAAAGAAACGAAAAUGAAGUAAGCAUACAGACAAAGAAACACGCGUAUCCUACAUGCUUUUGAAUGUGCUUCAUGUUUUAUCCCACAAUCUUCCACCAAAACGAAAGAUUUUAAGCACUAAGAACAGUUUAAGUGAGUUUCGCUCAACGUCCAGAGAAAGUUUACAGAUGUCGUGCAUGUCAUCUCAUUGUGUCCAGAGCGACUCCAGUCUGACAUUUGUUUACUCUCGUUCCAACUUCAUCAUCAGGUUUGCUGGACUGCAGAUGUCGUGGGCAGAGAAAAGCUGCAGACACUCAGCUCUCUGGUCAGUGUUUGGUUUCAAGGACCCAAGCUGGACGUUGCUGGACCAGCAGAAAAGUAAACAGGUAACAAACACAGGUAACAAACACAGGCAACACCUGUGCGGGGCUCACGUACUUCCUGACUUCUUGUUCGAUGACGUGGCAUCGAUCAUGUCACCUCCCUCUCUUCCUGCACAUCGAACCCCUCACCCUAGUCUCCUUCCUGCACCGUGCUUGGAACAUGAACCGCAGAACACAAUCUGUGCACGUGUCGGGUCACAGAGAUGUCACAGCCGUCACCCUCGUUUGAUUUCCAUGGCUGCCAAACUUCGCAGCCGCCUCCUAACCUGCUCAUGAUUCCCAGACCCCCCCUCGGCCUCGUUGUGAAAGCGCCAUUCCCUUCCGAGUGACACGGGAUGACCUUGCACUCGCUGGCAGCGCGAUCAAUAAGCUGUGUGACGUCACUCAAGUUUAC